ACGGAGGGUGCAAGCGUUAUCCGGAUUCACUGGGUUUAAAGGGUGCGUAGGAGGGCAGGUAAGUCCGUGGUGAAAUCUCUGAGCUUAACUCAGAAACUGCCGUGGAUACUACCGGUCUUGAAUAUCGUGGAGGUGAGCGGAAUAUGUCAUGUAGCGGUGAAAUGCUUAGAGAUGACAUAGAACACCCAUUGCGAAGGCAGCUCACUACCCGAAUAUUGACUCUGAGGCACGAAAGCGUGGGGAGCAAACAGGA
Molecule: ribosomal RNA, 253 nt
Filed under: uncultured prokaryote
Description: partial 16S ribosomal RNA
Rfam family: Bacterial small subunit ribosomal RNA
Source: RNAcentral